ACAGUCACUGACAUUAGACUACCCCGGUAGUCCCAGCCGUAAACUAUGCGCGUUAGGUGUACUGGUGACCACGAGUCACCGGGGUGCCGAAGGGAACCGUGAAACGUGCCGCCUGGGAAGUACGGUCGCAAGGCUGAAACUUAAAGGAAUUGGCGGGGAGCACCACAACGGGUGGAGCCUGCGGUUUAAUUGGACUCAACGCCGGAAAUCUCACCGGAUAGGACAGACAUAUGAUAGUCGGGCUGAAGACUCUACUUGAUGAUCUG
This 266-nucleotide ribosomal RNA is filed under the name uncultured archaeon. RNAcentral's name for it is "partial 16S ribosomal RNA". It matches the Rfam family "Archaeal small subunit ribosomal RNA", at positions 716 to 982 of the family's 1478-position model. The record is from RNAcentral.